GCCUCCGAGGGGAGGUAUCAGAUAUUGAGGGGGUGAGGGGAGGUAGAGAUAUUGAGGGGGUGAGGGGAGGUAGAGAUAUUGAAGGGGUGAGGGGAGGUAGAGAUAUUGAGGGGGUGGAGGGGAGGUAGAGAUAUUGAGGGGGUGGAGGGGAGGUAUCAGAGAUAUUGAAGGGGUGGAGGGGAGGUAUCAGAGAUAUUGAGGGGUGGAGGGGAGGUAUCAGAGAUAUUGAGGGGGUGGAGGGGAGGUAUCAGAGAUAUUGAGGGGGUGGAGGGGAGGUAGAGAUAUUGAGGGGGUGGAGGGGAGGUAUCAGAGAUAUUGAGGGGGUGGAGGGGAGGUAUCAGAGAUAUUGAGGGGGUGGAGGGGAGGUAUCAGAGAUAUUGAGGGGGUGGAGGGGAGGUAUCAGAGAUAUUGAGGGGGUGGAGGGGAGGUAUCAGAGAUAUUGAGGGGGUGGAGGGGAGGUAUCAGAGAUAUUGAGGGGGUGGAGGGGAGGUAUCAGAGAUAUUGAGGGGGUGGAGGGGAGGUAUCAGAGAUAUUGAGGGGGUGGAGGGAGGUAUCAGAGAUAUUGAG
Long non-coding RNA from Oncorhynchus keta (chum salmon), 567 nucleotides. RefSeq lists it as uncharacterized. Lineage: Eukaryota; Metazoa; Chordata; Actinopteri; Salmoniformes; Salmonidae. The transcript has 5 exons. The record is from RefSeq and is a predicted model, not a curated record.